Molecule: ribosomal RNA, 468 nt
Filed under: uncultured bacterium
Lineage: Bacteria
Description: partial 16S ribosomal RNA
Rfam family: Bacterial small subunit ribosomal RNA
Source: RNAcentral
GACGAACGCUGGCGGCGUGCUUAACACAUGCAAGUCGAACGGAAAGGCCCUGCUUUUGUGGGGUGCUCGAGUGGCGAACGGGUGAGUAACACGUGAGUAACCUGCCCUUGACUUUGGGAUAACUUCAGGAAACUGGGGCUACUACCGUAUAGGAGCUCCUGCUGCAUGGUGGGGGUUGGAAAGUUUCGGCGGUUGGGGAUGGACUCGCGGCUUAUCAGCUUGUUGGUGGGGUAGUGGCUUACCAAGGCUUUGACGGGUAGCCGGCCUGAGAGGGUGACCGGCCACAUGGGGACUGAGAGACGGCCCAGACGCCUACGGGAGGCAGCAGUGGGGAAUAUUGCACAAUGGGCGGGAGCCUGAUGCAGCAACGCCGCGUGCGGGAUGACGGCCUUCGGGUUGUAAACCGCUUUCGCCUGUGACGAAGCGUGAGUGACGGUAAUGGGUAAAGAAGCACCGGCUAACUACGUG